CCUACGGGAGGCAGCAGUGGGGAAUAUUGGACAAUGGGCGAAAGCCUGAUCCAGCAAUGCCGCGUGAGUGAUGAAGGCCUUCGGGUCGUAAAGCUCUUUUACCAGGGAUGAUAAUGACAGUACCUGGAGAAUAAGCUCCGGCUAACUCCGUGCCAGCAGCCGCGGUAAUACGGAGGGAGCUAGCGUUGUUCGGAAUUACUGGGCGUAAAGAGUACGUAGGCGGUUAUUCAAGUCAGAGGUGAAAGCCCGGGGCUCAACCCCGGAACUGCCUUUGAAACUAGGUAACUAGAGUCUUGGAGAGGUUAGUGGAAUUCCGAGUGUAGAGGUGAAAUUCGUAGAUAUUCGGAAGAACACCAGUGGCGAAGGCGACUAACUGGACAAGUACUGACGCUGAGGUACGAAAGCGUGGGGAGCAAACAGGAUUAGAUACCCUGGUAGUCCACGCCGUAAACGAUGAUAACUAGUUGUUCGGUCACUUGGUGACUGAGUGACGCAGCUAACGCAUUAAGUUAUCCGCCUGGGGAGUACGGUCGCAAGAUUAAAACUCAAAAGGAAUUGACGG
RNAcentral lists this ribosomal RNA (562 nucleotides) under uncultured bacterium. RNAcentral's name for it is "bacterial SSU rRNA". It matches the Rfam family "Bacterial small subunit ribosomal RNA", at positions 338 to 916 of the family's 1533-position model. The record is from RNAcentral.